CCCAACUGUAACUAUCAUACUGAGCUCUGAGACUCAGCCCCCAACACUUGCGCCCAACACAGGAGGUGGAUGUGAAAAGGGCCAAAACGAGGGAUAUUCGGGUGGCAAGCGGCUGGAGCAGAAACACAACCUCGCAAAGAGGGACCCCGACACGAAAAACGGCUCGGCCGCUCAAAUAAAGUCGCCGUAAGCCGCCGUAAGCCGCCGUUCGGAACCCGCGCUUUUCUUCCGCUUAAAAGCCGAUACUUCCGAUUGGACAGAUUGCAGUGAGUGGUCACGUGACCCGCAACGAUCGAAAGUCGGUCUCCCCCCCCGUCGAAUGUCCGUCUCACCGCCGCGGCUGGCUAGAGAGUCACGUGAUCACUCGCACCUCCCUCCUUCCCUCCCUCCCCCACAUCUCCCUCUCCGGUCACGUGACUGCGACCGACGUUACAUUGCUCUCUCCACUUGUCCCGUUUCGGCUGGUCCUAGUCGAUGAGGUCAGGCCCGAUUGGAAUAUCUGAGGCAAUCUUGUUUUCGUGAUAAUCCAAAAGACGCCUUGAACUUUGUUUUGAGGGGUAGAAACGAGAUCUUUUCAGGGACCUCUUUGGCGGGGUUGGGAGGAUCGAUAUUGGUCGCGUUUGAAAGCUACUGUUUGGGGGAGUCGAUUGGUUUUGGUUUGGAGAUGCUGGGAUGUCUGGUUAUUGAGAUACGGGCUAUCUUGUGCCACAAGUGUGGUAGAGAGAACCUGAGACUUGCAACGUGUUCCCAGGCGUGGUUUUGGGAGGUUUGUUGGAUUGUACUCUCUUUUGGGAGGUAUUUUUAAUGAUUUUUUUGAUUACACCACGGCCAUCCAGAAGAACAAUGUGACGACUCCUUGUUAAAACCUGCAUGUAAAAAUAAUUUUCAGCAUUUGAAAUACCUUUUUUAUUCUGAAUUACAAUACAUACAUACAAUAAAUACUCCGUUU
This 949-nucleotide unclassified non-coding RNA is filed under the name Yarrowia lipolytica. Lineage: Eukaryota; Fungi; Ascomycota; Dipodascomycetes; Dipodascales. The record is from RNAcentral.